CGCAGCAGGGUAGCUAUGCAUGGACGGGAUAACCGCUGAAAGCAUCUAAGCGGGAAGCCUCCCUCAAGAUAAGAUUUCUUAGGACGGUCGGAGACCACGACCUCGAUAGAUCGGAUGUGGAAGCGCGGUAACGCGUGAAGCUAACCGAUACUAAUUGUCCUAUUCGCGCUUGA
This 173-nucleotide ribosomal RNA is filed under the name Nostoc sp. 3335mG. RNAcentral's name for it is "partial 23S ribosomal RNA". It matches the Rfam family "Bacterial large subunit ribosomal RNA", at positions 2736 to 2925 of the family's 2925-position model. The record is from RNAcentral. Lineage: Bacteria; Bacillati; Cyanobacteriota; Cyanophyceae; Nostocales; Nostocaceae.